This 97-nucleotide small nucleolar RNA is filed under the name Meriones unguiculatus (Mongolian gerbil). Its description in RNAcentral is "Small nucleolar RNA SNORD125 (ENSMUGG00000023677.1)". It matches the Rfam family "Small nucleolar RNA SNORD125". Lineage: Eukaryota; Metazoa; Chordata; Mammalia; Rodentia; Muridae. The record is from RNAcentral.
AACCUUCGCAGCCCCUCUUGAUGAUACCUCUUCCUGAGCGGCUCCAGUGAUGAGCAAACUGAGCCUCUAAGAAGUUGACUGAAGGGGCCGCUUCCUC